Erigeron canadensis is the source of this 401-nucleotide long non-coding RNA. RefSeq lists it as uncharacterized. Lineage: Eukaryota; Viridiplantae; Streptophyta; Magnoliopsida; Asterales; Asteraceae. The transcript has 2 exons. The record is from RefSeq and is a predicted model, not a curated record.
GUGAGCACAAAGCGAACUAUUCUUUCGCCUUUUACUAAAGAAUACCGUGUGCUCGCCUUACUUAGUGGCAUACGCCUAUUUUUGGAGAGUUUCUUCUUUUAUAGAAGGGCUCCAACCAAUAUUUUCAGUUUUACUUUUUCUGAUGUGAAUAAGAAAAAAGCUCCAACUCAUCAGUGAGGGACUUGAUUAAUGCCAAAGGAUUAGACAAGAACAUAUAGGACAGAGAAUGGAGAAUAUCGCCCCUCGCCAGAGGAUGGAUUUGUGACUGAAAAAGAAGAUAUUAUAACUACAAGGCCAUAAGUGUCUCGGUUAGCUUGUAAGGUCAUUGUUAGGAUCCAUUCCAAUAAUGGUUGUAAAGUGACAUUAAAUAAGUUUAAAUCAGCUGUUUUUAGCAAAGUUCA